ACGACCUUACUUGAACAGGAUCUGUUCUAUAGGCACGUACCUCUGUUUCCUUGAUUUCUCAAGAGACAGGCCCUUAACCCUGGUUGAUGAACCAUGACCGUGCGGCUAGAGCGUGAUUGACGGCCAUGAUCGUCUACGGACGCAUCUGGUGCUGUAGAGGAUCGUUACUCGGCUCAGUUCUACCUUGCCGGGGUGGUCGCACGGCGGUCUGACAGGUC
RNAcentral lists this small nucleolar RNA (218 nucleotides) under Arabidopsis suecica. RNAcentral describes it as "Plant_U3". It matches the Rfam family "Plant small nucleolar RNA U3". From Rfam's summary of the family: Small nucleolar RNAs (snoRNAs) are involved in the processing and modification of rRNA in the nucleolus. There are two main classes of snoRNAs: the box C/D class, and the box H/ACA class. The record is from RNAcentral. Lineage: Eukaryota; Viridiplantae; Streptophyta; Magnoliopsida; Brassicales; Brassicaceae.